AUUGAACGCUGGCGGCAGGCCUAACACAUGCAAGUCGAGCGAGCGGCGGACGGGUGAGUAAUGUAUGGGGACUUCCCGAUAGAGGGGGAUAACUACUGGAAAAGGUAUCUAAUACCGCAUACUAUCGGAUAACCCAUAUGGGAUGAGAUAGUCGGUGGGGUAAUGGCUCACCUAGGCGACGAUCCCUAGCUGGUCUGAGAGGAUGAUCAGCAACACGGGUAAUGAGACACGGCCCAGACUCCUACGGAGGCAGCAGGGGGGAAUAUUGCACAAGGGGCGCAAGCCUGAUACAGCCAUGCCGCGUGUAUGAAGAAGGCCCGAGGGUUGUAAAGUAUUUUCAGUCGGGAGGCGUUACCGACAGAAGAAGCACCGGCUAACUCCGUGCCAGCAGCCGCGGUAAUAC
RNAcentral lists this ribosomal RNA (403 nucleotides) under uncultured bacterium. RNAcentral's name for it is "partial 16S ribosomal RNA". It matches the Rfam family "Bacterial small subunit ribosomal RNA", at positions 30 to 526 of the family's 1533-position model. The record is from RNAcentral.